UACGUAGGGUGCAAGCGUUAAUCGGAAUUACUGGGCGUAAAGCGUGCGCAGGCGGUGAUGUAAGACAGGUGUGAAAUCCCCGGGCUUAACCAAGGAAGUGCAUCCGAUACUGUUUCGCUUGAGUGUCGGAGGGGAUGGCGGAAUUCCCGGUGUAGAGGUGAAAUUCGUAGAUAUCGGGAGGAACACCUGUGGCGAAGGCGGCCAUCUGGACGACAACUGACGCUGAGACGCGAAAGCGUGGGUAGCAAACAGG
This 253-nucleotide ribosomal RNA is filed under the name uncultured bacterium. Its description in RNAcentral is "partial 16S ribosomal RNA". It matches the Rfam family "Bacterial small subunit ribosomal RNA", at positions 524 to 776 of the family's 1533-position model. The record is from RNAcentral.